This 567-nucleotide ribosomal RNA is filed under the name uncultured fungus. RNAcentral's name for it is "eukaryotic LSU rRNA". It matches the Rfam family "Eukaryotic large subunit ribosomal RNA", at positions 69 to 649 of the family's 3401-position model. The record is from RNAcentral. Lineage: Eukaryota; Fungi.
CAGGGAUGGCCUUAGUAACGGCGAGUGAAGCGGCAACAGCUCAAAUUUGAAAUCUGGCUUCUUUGAAGUCCGAGCUGUAAUUUGUAGAGGAUGCUUCGGGUUUGGCCCCCGGCCUAAGUUUCUUGGAACAGAACGUCACAGAGGGUGAGANNCCCGUAUGUGGCUGGAGGUCUAUGCCCAUGUGAAGCUCCUUCGACGAGUCGAGUUGUUUGGGAAUGCAGCUCAAAAUGGGUGGUAAAUUUCAUCUAAAGCUAAAUACCGGCGGGAGACCGAUAGCGCACAAGUAGAGUGAUCGAAAGAUGAAAAGCACUUUGGAAAGAGAGUUAAAAAGUACGUGAAAUUGUUGAAAGGGAAGCGCUUGCGACCAGACUUGCCCGCAGUUGAUCAACCGGUGUUCUCACCUGUGCACUCUGCUGUGGUCAGGCCAGCAUCGGUUUGGGCGGCUGGAGAAAGGCCCUGGGAAUGUGGCUCUCUUCGGGGAGUGUUAUAGCCCAAGGCGUCAUGCAGCCAGCCUGGACCGAGGACCGCGCUUCGGCUAGGAUGCUGGCGUAAUGGUCGUAAGCGACC